UUCAAUCAUCCCAACCAAUCUUUCUCUCUUAGUUUUCUCUCUCUCCCAUUUGAGAAUUCUUAAGAAUUCUAUUUGUUUGUAAUAUUUUGGAGAUAGUAAAGUUAACAUCCGGUGUUAGUGCCCGAGGACGUAGGUAUAAUUUAUCAACCUCGUUAAAACUCUUGUGUUCUUUCUUGUCCUAUUUUUCUUUCAAUAUUUGAGGGUAUAAUAGUAGUAUUUAAUUGUGCUAUUAAAUUACUAUAAAAGGGAUAUUCGACUAAGGAAAGACUUGGUAUUUAAGAGAUCCUUGUGAUCCACCUCUCUUCCCUGGGAAUUGAACUUUGUGUGAUUUUUUAGUACAAUAAUUUACAAGCUUCCGACCCUAUUGAAACAACACUUUGGAGUGAUGAAAAUUCAAAGUUCAAACUUGUCCUGUUUCCGAAUUUAUUAGUUAACAAAAAUUAAUAAUAAUAAUCCUAACUCUACCGGAAAGGAUUGUAUGUAAUGAAAUGAAACUUUUGGAAUUUAAAUUGAAAUUGUUAAUAUAGUAUUAAAUUUUAAAAUUUAGAA
This is a long non-coding RNA of Gossypium arboreum, 549 nucleotides long. RefSeq lists it as uncharacterized. The transcript is spliced from 2 exons. The record is from RefSeq and is a predicted model, not a curated record. Lineage: Eukaryota; Viridiplantae; Streptophyta; Magnoliopsida; Malvales; Malvaceae.